GAGCUUUAAUGGCACAAACCUUGAUCCCAGCACGAAGUUUAUUAAGAAUAAUAACUGCGAGUGCGUCACUUUCCACAUCUUCGGAAAUAAUUAGUAGAGGUCUUUGAUUCUUCACAGCCAACUCUAACACCUUCACCACUGCAUUAAGGUUCGAAAUUUUCUUCUCAUGUAUCACAAUAAGUGGAUUAUCAAGUUCGCAUUUUUGGGUUUUGGGGUUAGUAAUGAAGUAUGGAGAAAUGUAGCCCCUGUCGAGUUUCAUUCCUUCAACAACUUCCAACUCGUUGUAAAGAGUCUUUCCGUCCGAGAUGGUGAUGACUCCCUCUUUGCCAACUUUCUCCAUGGCCUUCGCAAUGAGUUCACCAAUUUCCCUUUCACCAUUGGCUGAUAUGGUACCAACCUGAGCAAUUUCCUCUGACGUGCUAAUCAUCCUUGCUCUGCUUUUCAAAUUUGCCACGACAGCAU
This 462-nucleotide unclassified non-coding RNA is filed under the name Hevea brasiliensis (rubber tree). Lineage: Eukaryota; Viridiplantae; Streptophyta; Magnoliopsida; Malpighiales; Euphorbiaceae. The record is from RNAcentral.